Molecule: ribosomal RNA, 551 nt
Filed under: uncultured Actinomycetes bacterium
Lineage: Bacteria; Bacillati; Actinomycetota; Actinomycetes
Description: bacterial SSU rRNA
Rfam family: Bacterial small subunit ribosomal RNA
Source: RNAcentral
GUAACCGGCUCACCAAGGCGACGACUGGUAGCCGGCCUGAGAGGGCGACCGGCCACACUGGGACUGAGACACGGCCCAGACUCCUACGGGAGGCAGCAGUGGGGAAUAUUGCACAAUGGGCGGAAGCCUGAUGCAGCGACGCCGCGUGAGGGAUGACGGCCUUCGGGUUGUAAACCUCUUUCGCCGGGGACGAAGCCGUGAGGUGACGGUACCUGGAUAAGAAGCACCGGCUAACUACGUGCCAGCAGCCGCGGUAAUACUGGGGGAGCGAGCGUUGUUCGGAAUUACUGGGCGUAAAGGGCGCGUAGGCGGCUUGGUCAGUCGCGUGUGAAAGGCCGGGGCUCAACCCCGAGCAUUGCACGUGAUACUGCCUGGCUCGAGAGAGGUAGGGGCGAGUGGAAUUCCCGGUGUAGCGGUGGAAUGCGUAGAUAUCGGGAGGAACACCUGUGGCGAAGGCGGCUCGCUGGACCUUUUCUGACGCUGAAGCGCGAAAGCGUGGGUAGCAAACAGGAUUAGAUACCCUGGUAGUCCACGCCGUAAACGAUGGGUAC